Molecule: long non-coding RNA, 235 nt
Filed under: Brassica napus (rape)
Lineage: Eukaryota; Viridiplantae; Streptophyta; Magnoliopsida; Brassicales; Brassicaceae
Description: long non-coding RNA (BNAP_LNC021259)
Source: RNAcentral
UAUUGUUUUCUCUUAGGUUUGGAGAGAAGACAAAUUCUCCUUCAGACAUUUAUUGGAACUCCAUUGGUUUUAUCAUUGAUUUUUUAUCUAUUAUAUUAUUCAGACUAUGAUUUGUGUUAUUGCUUCUAUGUCUAAGUAAUCAUCUUGUUAGAUUGAGGGAUUUCAUGAGCUUAAUGUCAAAUUGAUAAUAAAUUAGGAUUGUUAGAUUAUCUAUAGAUCUACACCAGGGUGAUUU